RNAcentral lists this non-coding RNA (45 nucleotides) under Schistosoma curassoni. Lineage: Eukaryota; Metazoa; Platyhelminthes; Trematoda; Strigeidida; Schistosomatidae. The record is from RNAcentral.
AUCUAGCUGAUGAGUUUCAAAUAGGACGAAACGCGCGUCCUGAAU